This 497-nucleotide ribosomal RNA is filed under the name uncultured bacterium. RNAcentral's name for it is "partial 16S ribosomal RNA". It matches the Rfam family "Bacterial small subunit ribosomal RNA", at positions 28 to 507 of the family's 1533-position model. The record is from RNAcentral.
GACGAACGCUGGCGGCGUGCCUAAUACAUGCAAGUAGAACGCUGAAGAGAGGAGCUUGCUCUUCUUGGAUGAGUUGCGAACGGGUGAGUAACGCGUAGGUAACCUGCCUUGUAGCGGGGGAUAACUAUUGGAAACGAUAGCUAAUACCGCAUAACAAUGGAUGACACAUGUCAUUUAUUUGAAAGGGGCAAUUGCUCCACUACAAGAUGGACCUGCGUUGUAUUAGCUAGUAGGUGAGGUAAUGGCUCACCUAGGCGACGAUACAUAGCCGACCUGAGAGGGUGAUCGGCCACACUGGGACUGAGACACGGCCCAGACUCCUACGGGAGGCAGCAGUAGGGAAUCUUCGGCAAUGGGGGCAACCCUGACCGAGCAACGCCGCGUGAGUGAAGAAGGUUUUUGGAUCGUAAAGCUCUGUUGUAAGUCAAGAACGGGUGUGAGAGUGGAAAGUUCACACUGUGACGGUAGCUUACCAGAAAGGGACGGCUAACUACGUG